RNAcentral lists this ribosomal RNA (253 nucleotides) under uncultured bacterium. RNAcentral describes it as "partial 16S ribosomal RNA". It matches the Rfam family "Bacterial small subunit ribosomal RNA", at positions 524 to 776 of the family's 1533-position model. The record is from RNAcentral.
UACGUAGGUGGCAAGCGUUAUCCGGAAUUAUUGGGCGUAAAGAGCGCGCAGGUGGUUAAUUAAGUCUGAUGUGAAAGCCCACGGCUUAACCGUGGAGGGUCAUUGGAAACUGGUUGACUUGAGUGCAGAAGAGGGAAGUGGAAUUCCAUGUGUAGCGGUGAAAUGCGUAGAGAUAUGGAGGAACACCAGUGGCGAAGGCGGCUUCCUGGUCUGCAACUGACACUGAGCCGCGAAAGCGUGGGGAGCAAACAGG